This 429-nucleotide ribosomal RNA is filed under the name Actinomycetes bacterium. Its description in RNAcentral is "Actinobacteria bacterium partial 16S ribosomal RNA". It matches the Rfam family "Bacterial small subunit ribosomal RNA", at positions 355 to 776 of the family's 1533-position model. The record is from RNAcentral. Lineage: Bacteria; Bacillati; Actinomycetota; Actinomycetes.
UAGGGAAUCUUCCGCAAUGGGCGAAAGCCUGACGGAGCAACGCCGUGUGAGUGAUGAAGGUCUUCGGAUCGUAAAACUCUGUUAUUAGGGAAGAACAAAUGUGUAAGUAACUAUGCACGUCUUGACGGUACCUAAUCAGAAAGCCACGGCUAACUACGUGCCAGCAGCCGCGGUAAUACGUAGGUGGCAAGCGUUAUCCGGAAUUAUUGGGCGUAAAGCGCGCGUAGGCGGUUUUUUAAGUCUGAUGUGAAAGCCCACGGCUCAACCGUGGAGGGUCAUUGGAAACUGGAAAACUUGAGUGCAGAAGAGGAAAGUGGAAUUCCAUGUGUAGCGGUGAAAUGCGCAGAGAUAUGGAGGAACACCAGUGGCGAAGGCGACUUUCUGGUCUGUAACUGACGCUGAUGUGCGAAAGCGUGGGGAUCAAACAGG